AAAAGAAAAAUAACAAUGAUUUCCCUAGUAACGGCGAGUGAAGAGGAAAGAGCUCAAAGUUGGAACCUGUUUGGCCUAGCUAAACCGGAUUGUAGACUGUAGAAGUGUUUUCCAGGCAAGCCGAGUAAAUAAGUCCUUUGGAACAGGGCAUCAUAGAGGGUGAGAAUCCCGUCUUUGGCUUGAGCAUUUGCCUUUUGUGAUACGCUUUCAAAGAGUCAGGUUGUUUGGGAAUGCAGCCUAAAUUGGGUGGUAAAUCUCACCUAAAGCUAAAUAUUGGCGAGAAACCGAUAGCGAACAAGUACCGUGAGGGAAAGAUGAAAAGAACUUUGAAAAGAGAGUUAAACAGUAUGUGAAAUUGUUAAAAGGGAACCGUUUGGAGCCAGACUGGCUUGUCUGUAAUCAAUCUAGGCUUCGGCCUGGAUGCACUUGCAGGCUAUGCCUGCCAACGACAAUUUGACUUGAGGGAAAAAACUAAGGGAAAUGUGGCCCACUUGUGGGUGUUAUAGUCCCUUAGAAAAUACCUUGGGUUGGAUUGAGGAACGCAGCGAAUGCUUUUUGGCGAGUUUUCCAGGAAGGUUUUCUGAGGUACUACGGUAUCAAAGGUUGACCUUUUGGUUAUACUUCUAUUCGCUUAGGUUGUUGGCUUAUGACUCUAAAUGACCCGUCUUGAACACGGACCA
Molecule: ribosomal RNA, 680 nt
Filed under: Rhizopus arrhizus
Lineage: Eukaryota; Fungi; Mucoromycota; Mucoromycetes; Mucorales; Rhizopodaceae
Description: eukaryotic LSU rRNA
Rfam family: Eukaryotic large subunit ribosomal RNA
Source: RNAcentral